RNAcentral lists this ribosomal RNA (2992 nucleotides) under Salmonella enterica. RNAcentral describes it as "23S ribosomal RNA". It matches the Rfam family "Bacterial large subunit ribosomal RNA". Lineage: Bacteria; Pseudomonadati; Pseudomonadota; Gammaproteobacteria; Enterobacterales; Enterobacteriaceae. RNAcentral also lists the same sequence under 1 other name. The record is from RNAcentral.
GGUUAAGCGACUAAGCGUACACGGUGGAUGCCCUGGCAGUCAGAGGCGAUGAAGGACGUGCUAAUCUGCGAUAAGCGCCGGUAAGGUGAUAUGAACCGUUAUAACCGGCGAUUUCCGAAUGGGGAAACCCAGUGUGAUUCGUCACACUAUCAUUAACUGAAUCCAUAGGUUAAUGAGGCGAACCGGGGGAACUGAAACAUCUAAGUACCCCGAGGAAAAGAAAUCAACCGAGAUUCCCCCAGUAGCGGCGAGCGAACGGGGAGGAGCCCAGAGCCUGAAUCAGCAUGUGUGUUAGUGGAAGCGUCUGGAAAGGUGCGCGAUACAGGGUGACAGCCCCGUACACAAAAGCGCAUGUGCUGUGAGCUCGAUGAGUAGGGCGGGACACGUGGUAUCCUGUCUGAAUAUGGGGGGACCAUCCUCCAAGGCUAAAUACUCCUGACUGACCGAUAGUGAACCAGUACCGUGAGGGAAAGGCGAAAAGAACCCCGGCGAGGGGAGUGAAAAAGAACCUGAAACCGUGUACGUACAAGCAGUGGGAGCACAGGUUUACCUGUGUGACUGCGUACCUUUUGUAUAAUGGGUCAGCGACUUAUAUUCUGUAGCAAGGUUAACCGUAUAGGGGAGCCGUAGGGAAACCGAGUCUUAACCGGGCGUUAAGUUGCAGGGUAUAGACCCGAAACCCGGUGAUCUAGCCAUGGGCAGGUUGAAGGUUGGGUAACACUAACUGGAGGACCGAACCGACUAAUGUUGAAAAAUUAGCGGAUGACCUGUGGCUGGGGGUGAAAGGCCAAUCAAACCGGGAGAUAGCUGGUUCUCCCCGAAAGCUAUUUAGGUAGCGCCUCGUGAAUUCAUCUCCGGGGGUAGAGCACUGUUUCGGCUAGGGGGCCAUCCCGGCUUACCAACCCGAUGCAAACUGCGAAUACCGGAGAAUGUUAUCACGGGAGACACACGGCGGGUGCUAACGUCCGUCGUGAAGAGGGAAACAACCCAGACCGCCAGCUAAGGUCCCAAAGUCAUGGUUAAGUGGGAAACGAUGUGGGAAGGCCCAGACAGCCAGGAUGUUGGCUUAGAAGCAGCCAUCAUUUAAAGAAAGCGUAAUAGCUCACUGGUCGAGUCGGCCUGCGCGGAAGAUGUAACGGGGCUAAACCAUGCACCGAAGCUGCGGCAGCGAACGUAUCACCCAAGACAACUUUACGGAGUUGACGAUUGACGGAGCGAAGCGACGUCAAAGCGUUCAUUAAAGUCGAGUUGGCUUAGGGAUACGUUCGUUGGGUAGGGGAGCGUUCUGUAAGCCUGUGAAGGUGUGUCGUGAGGCAUGCUGGAGGUAUCAGAAGUGCGAAUGCUGACAUAAGUAACGAUAAAGCGGGUGAAAAGCCCGCUCACCGGAAGACCAAGGGUUCCUGUCCAACGUUAAUCGGGGCAGGGUGAGUCGACCCCUAAGGCGAGGCCGAAAGGCGUAGUCGAUGGGAAACGGGUUAAUAUUCCCGUACUUGGUGUUACUGCGAAGGGGGGACGGAGAAGGCUAUGUUGGCCGGGCGACGGUUGUCCCGGUUUAAGCGUGUAGGUGUGUGUUCCAGGUAAAUCCGGUUCACUUUAACACUGAGGCGUGACGACGAGGCACUACGGUGCUGAAGCAACAAAUGCCCUGCUUCCAGGAAAAGCCUCUAAGCAUCAGGUAACAUCAAAUCGUACCCCAAACCGACACAGGUGGUCAGGUAGAGAAUACCAAGGCGCUUGAGAGAACUCGGGUGAAGGAACUAGGCAAAAUGGUGCCGUAACUUCGGGAGAAGGCACGCUGACACGUAGGUGAAGUGAUUUACUCAUGGAGCUGAAGUCAGUCGAAGAUACCAGCUGGCUGCAACUGUUUAUUAAAAACACAGCACUGUGCAAACACGAAAGUGGACGUAUACGGUGUGACGCCUGCCCGGUGCCGGAAGGUUAAUUGAUGGGGUCAGCGUAAGCGAAGCUCCUGAUCGAAGCCCCGGUAAACGGCGGCCGUAACUAUAACGGUCCUAAGGUAGCGAAAUUCCUUGUCGGGUAAGUUCCGACCUGCACGAAUGGCGUAAUGAUGGCCAGGCUGUCUCCACCCGAGACUCAGUGAAAUUGAACUCGCUGUGAAGAUGCAGUGUACCCGCGGCAAGACGGAAAGACCCCGUGAACCUUUACUAUAGCUUGACACUGAACAUUGAGCCUUGAUGUGUAGGAUAGGUGGGAGGCUUUGAAGUGUGGACGCCAGUCUGCAUGGAGCCGACCUUGAAAUACCACCCUUUAAUGUUUGAUGUUCUAACGUGGACCCGUAAUCCGGGUUGCGGACAGUGUCUGGUGGGUAGUUUGACUGGGGCGGUCUCCUCCUAAAGAGUAACGGAGGAGCACGAAGGUUGGCUAAUCCUGGUCGGACAUCAGGAGGUUAGUGCAAUGGCAUAAGCCAGCUUGACUGCGAGCGUGACGGCGCGAGCAGGUGCGAAAGCAGGUCAUAGUGAUCCGGUGGUUCUGAAUGGAAGGGCCAUCGCUCAACGGAUAAAAGGUACUCCGGGGAUAACAGGCUGAUACCGCCCAAGAGUUCAUAUCGACGGCGGUGUUUGGCACCUCGAUGUCGGCUCAUCACAUCCUGGGGCUGAAGUAGGUCCCAAGGGUAUGGCUGUUCGCCAUUUAAAGUGGUACGCGAGCUGGGUUUAGAACGUCGUGAGACAGUUCGGUCCCUAUCUGCCGUGGGCGCUGGAGAACUGAGGGGGGCUGCUCCUAGUACGAGAGGACCGGAGUGGACGCAUCACUGGUGUUCGGGUUGUCAUGCCAAUGGCACUGCCCGGUAGCUAAAUGCGGAAGAGAUAAGUGCUGAAAGCAUCUAAGCACGAAACUUGCCCCGAGAUGAGUUCUCCCUGAGACUUAGAGUCUCCUGAAGGAACGUUGAAGACGACGACGUUGAUAGGCCGGGUGUGUAAGCGCAGCGAUGCGUUGAGCUAACCGGUACUAAUGAACCGUGAGGCUUAACCUU